RNAcentral lists this unclassified non-coding RNA (7116 nucleotides) under Leishmania donovani. Its description in RNAcentral is "gene:LdHU3.06.1070(CDS-product:Protein_phosphatas e_2C_putative)". The record is from RNAcentral. Lineage: Eukaryota; Euglenozoa; Kinetoplastea; Trypanosomatida; Trypanosomatidae.
GAGGCGUGACGCUCGCGUUGCCUCUUAUCUUCCUGCCCUUUUCCCCAUCCCUCACGUUGAUCGGGCUCCUCAUAGACGGGCGACGCACCCCGAGAGACCGCGGCGACCGGCGCGUGUUCUUGCGCCUGUGCGCUCGCAGUGAUACAGACCCCUCCACCACCAACACCAACACCAGCACCACCGGCACCAGCAGACGUGGAUAGCAUAGAAGAAUACGAGCGGAACGGAGCUGGCUCGCUCUCGGCCGCCCGUCCCCUUCUCUCUGGGGCCUUCACAUCCCCUCUUUCGCCAGCUCUCAUCAGCGAGCCAUCACUACACACAGACACCAUAACGACCUCCCCCCUCCUUCUCUCUCCCCUCCACACACACAGGGCCUGGGCGUGGGCGCUCUGUCACAUCCAAGAGCAGAUCUAUACACUUUCUAUGCAUACGCUUGCCUCAACGCCUCGCGCUAUUCGGCAGAGAGCCCCACCACCGCUGCGCGGCUGUCUUGGGCCUUCACACACACACACAAACACACACAGCCUCACACCGCUCGCCUGCAGCCGCUGCCGUCUUCCUCUCUGCCUGCCCGCCUUCUCUGUUCAGUGGCGCGUCGCACCGACGCAGCGCUGCUGAGGGCGAAGGGGCGCUCCUCAGUGCGCCUUGUAAGGCGCGGAAGCUGCCGUUGGCAGUGGCAGUGACAGAGCAAGCAAACGAAAGGAAGGGCGAAGCAAAAACGUGGGCGCGUGCGUUGCCGAGCACCGCACGCGGACAAGCUUCUCCCCUGCUCUUCUACUGUUUUGUUUGUUUGCUUGUGCACGUGUGUAUGCUCGCGUUGGGUGAUGAGGGAAACAGCGCCGCUGGCGGCACCGAGCUCACCGCCGAACAACGGAGACGCAUCGGCAGGUAUUGCAGGGGCGCCGCUAUCAGACGAACUUGCGGGGGCGGUGGUGACGGCCCACAAGCGCUGUGGUCUUCGUGCGGCAUCGCCGACUGCUGCCCCUGCUGACGCCAUCGCAGCGACAAGCGCUGCAGGGAGCCUUGCGUUCCCCCUACCUCUGUCUCGCAGCACCGCUCCUCAGCGCCUUGACGGUGGCGCACCUGAGACGCCGUCUUGGCGAAUAAGCUCUGAAGAGAGUCGCGGUUCCGCUCAGAAGGCCGAAGGUGGCAAUCUCCUGGAGCUCCCUAUCCGCGUGUCCUCGACGCAUGAAGACCUCGACGACGUCUCCACCGGCGUGGUCGCACCACCUUCGCCUGGCAUGUUCACCUGCGCGCAGAAGAAGGAGCCAGCAGCGCGCUCGCAGUCACUGGAUGCGCCGCUCGGCGAUGCGCUGUCGGUCAUUGAUAGCCCUAAAGUCGGGGACCUCGCGAGGGGCGGUGUGGCCGAGCGUGCCGACGCUGACGAGCACACACAAAUACCAUUAUUCCGCGUACUCUCGCUGCCACGCGGACUGAUUGGCGAUGAUGCGGCGCCGCGCACCAGACGUGCCGAGGUGUGGCAGCCGGCUGUGGAGGGUAGCGAGAGCAAAUCCAGCAUCGCGACGGCGCUGGCGUCGUCGGGAAGGGCGCUGCAGGAGACAGACAGCGACGACAAGGACGCGCCACCUCUGAGGCUCCACGGCCUCGUCGCACCGCGACUGUCGCCAGGGGGCAUACGAAGCGGGGGCCGCGGCGUCGAGGACUGCGGUGCCCCCGCUGCGUCGGCGGCGUCUACACCGUUGCUUCCCCUCUGUGCGUCUGUCAGUAGCGGCAGCAGCGUAUUCGUCAGCAGGCAGCUUCGCACCGAGCCGCUGAGUACGGCGCUGACCACACCCACCGACGCAGCAAUGGCAGCCUCCGCAGCCGCGCGCAGUCGGUCUGUAACCAGUGGCACACCGCUGCUUGACUCGUUCCGCAUCGUCCUCUCCCCAUGCCCCAGCAGCAUCGCGCCGUCCUUCUCCCUCGUGCCAUGCCCCACAGCAUCGCGGGCGUUGUCGCCUGUGUCGGUCUCAGCGCCAAUUGUGCAGCAGCGAUGGCGUGAUCAGGUCCGGGCUCGCACGAGGGUCGGCGUUGGGAGUGGGAGCGGCACCUCUCCCCUAACAUCCGCCACAUGUGCGCUGGACCCCGUUGGCGGGCAUGCUUUGUGGAUUCAGCCCCCGCCGCACCCGACCCAUGCAGCGGCGCGCUCGCGUUGCGGCAGCGCAGGCGGCGACGGUGACGGGGACGCGGCGUCUGUGACACCACUGCACGAGGGGGCACCGCCACCAUCGCGGCGGCCCGGUGGUAGGGGUGGCGCAAGUGAGAUUGCCGCGCCGAUGCCCCUUAGCUUCUCCUGCUUGGGUGCCGCGGCAAGCCUGUCAAAGGACGGGCCCGGGGUGAGGCGGGGGCGCGCCAGCCCACCACUAUGCGAUGCGUCACUGUGCAGCGGUCGCGACCACGCGGCCACGCUAUCGCUUCGCCUUUCCCUCCCCCAGCCAAGUUGCACCUCCCUCGACGCAGCGCCGCCGCCUGCACCCCAGCUGCAACAGCAUCCCGGCAGCGCCCACAACCCGCCUGCCUCGGCAAACGCCACCACACAGAGCCUGUCACGGGAUUCGCCUGCGGCACACGCAUCGUCGCCUCCAUCGCUGCCGCGGCAGACCGAGCCGCCUCGCUCGCUCCGUCCGGACCACGGCCAGCGUGACAGCGCCGGCAGCAGCGGCCUGCCACCGUGGCCUUCCCCGCCCGUGACGACGGCGCACCACCACGACAGCGGCUUCUGCACCUCUCCCACGGAUGCAGGAUCGCACUCCAGUAACGGCCGCCGGUUGCCCGCGCAACCCUUUGUUUUCUCGGCGUCGGCAUCGCAGCGCCGCCUCCAGCCCUCAGCGGUAACGGACUCGGUCACAUCGCCGUCUGCGUGCGCCGAGUGGCAGUCGCGCGCUCGGCUGUACCACGAAUCAAGGUACUUCGAGCCCCUCUGCGUACCGGGCGAAGCCGCGCCGAUGAGACGGUCGCCGCCGCUGCAGGCCGACUCCUUGGCAGACUUGGCCGGCCGGUGCGUUGCAGACGGCUCGACCCUGCUAGCGGCCACGUCGCUCGCACAAACCAAAGGGGAGGGCUUGGUGUCGACGUGCUCGACACCACCGCCAUCUCCGAUGGUGGCGCCGCCGCGGCCCUCGCUGUCGCUCACCUCACAGCACGUGCCAGGGCGCACUUCGUCGGUCGGAGGAGAAGAUGUGUGCCUAUGGAACGCGACGCCGGACAGCUCGCGAAGGAUGGCGCUGACAUCGACUAGUCUGCCACGUGGCAGCCCGUUGGCGCGAGCAGCAAGGGCAUCGGCGGCGUCUUCGUGGGCCCCGUCGCUCUGCUCGUCACCGACAGCAAUGGCAGACAUCGGCGGCUUGGGCAGCAAAGGCGGGAUGGCGCUUACGUGUGGCGGGGGCAGGAGACCCCACGGCUCUGCCGCGCUGCACGCGUCUCCUGCGGACGGAGACGGUCUCGUGCACUUUGGGGUGGAGUCGGAGCUCUGUGGGCUGCAGCGCAUUCGAGACGCGAACUCUUCCUCGCUGACCGGCGUGAGCAGCGCCGUCCCCGCGUCCACCGGGGUGGUUUUCGGGGGAAGUCAGCGAGCCGUUCCAUCCAUACUUCGCGUCGACAGCGAGAGUGGCGGAGCGGGUAGCAACGACUUGGGCAGCUUCAGCGACUAUGUGCCAUCCGCACUGCUACUGGCGCCACCUCCGCCGCUGGUAGCGCUGCCUGCAAGCCAGUGCCCCUCCUCAAGAGCCUCUCUGCGCAGCAGCGACUCAGCGCCCCCAGCGGCGGUCACCAGCACUGCGGUCACCAGAGCAACAGCCUCUGCCCAGUAUACCUCGCCGCUGCAGUGGCCCUCGCCGGUGCUGUGCACUCGUGAACGAAAUACCGUGCUGGCAGCUGCCGCGGCCACGAGCGAGGCUCUGGCCGAAGGCAACGACGUGGUAGCAGCGCUGGAGGAGGGCGAUGUUCAAGCAGACAUCUCGGCAGCACUUGACGCUUCUCUCGACGUCACCGCCGCUGCUGCCGAAGGCGUGACGGCACUGUCGCCCGCGCCGGUGCCUUCAGCGUCACCGGCUACGCAGUUUCGGUGCGCGUUUAGCUCGCUGCGCGGCUGCCGAAGUAGGCAAGAGGACAGCGUCAUGAUGGUGGCAGACCUGCCGGUGCGCGUGCGGAGAAGCACCACUGCAGCGCCGACCACUGCCACCGCUGCUGCCCCUCCUACUUCCACUGGAGCAGCCAGCGGAGCGAGUGCGCGAAGAGAAGCCGGGGCAGUGCGCGAAGACACAGAGUGGGCUGAUGCGGACUCGAUGCCAACACAGGAGGUGACGGCGACGGCGCGCCACGCCACGAAUGUGCGAGACGAGGUUGUCUUCGCCUGCUUUGGCGUCUUUGAUGGCCACUGCGGUGACACCGUGGCGUCCUUGGCCUCGCAGUUCUUUCCGGAGCACUUCGAGCACGCCCUGCAGGCUUAUCAGAGGCAGCUGGAGCAGGACCCACGAAAUGGCAGAGGCGCGUCUCGUGGCACCGACAGCUCCGCACAGCGGAGGAAGGGAGACCUUGGAAGCUGCAACGUAUGUCCCGAAGGGCCACGGGCGGAGCGGCUACGUGGCCAUCACGAGACAGCGCCGAUGGAGGCGGUCGAGUUUCAGCGGGUUGUAAGCGCUGCCCUUGUGCAGGCACUGUUGCACCUUGACCUGACGUUGUACGACCUCCUGCACCACGCUACACACGGCCUCUCUGCCCAGCGUCGUGACGCAGGGUCGACCGCGAGCGUGGCAACGUUUUUCAAGCUACCGACGACGUCUGCGCCGUGCCACGGCGGUGCAAGAGCGGUGGUGGGCAGCUGCACAAGCUGCACCCCGCCGUUGGCAACAGGUGCCGGUGAUGCGCCGUCAAACAGUGGUGGCUCUGCCGCCGCUUGCACACCUGCAACGCUGGAUGAGCCAAUGAAGCAAGGGGUGCCUGGCGAGGCGUCCACACCACUGAUGCCGGCCGCGCGCACAGAGGACACGUAUCGGCUCUGCAUCGCGAAUCUGGGUGAUAGCCGUGCCAUUAUCGGCAAUCUGCAGACGGGCGAGCUUCUGCUCAGCACCACUGACCACCGCAUCUCUGCCUACCCAUCCGAGGCAGCCCGGAUUCAGGCCGCCGGUGGCGUCGUGGAGCUUGGACGCGUCGACGGCAGCCUCGACGUGACGCGGGGUCUCGGGGACUACCGGUACAAGGUUGCACCGGCGCGGUGGUGGUCUUCCGCCGCCCCAGCGUCAGCGACCGCUGCGUCCGCAAGUGUGUCAUUGACGUCGCUCGCGGCCUCUGCUGUAGCAACCAACGCCGCCACCACGGCAACACUGACAGCGAUGGGGAGGAGCAGCUCCGCGACCGCCACCGCCACAUCGUCGUCAUCGCCAGUCAAGGUAGUCGCAGGGUCGGUGCCGCCCGCGAGUACGCCGCGACACAGCGAUGCCUCCGAAGGCGGCUCCGCGGUGCGGGGACUGCGCUGGCAGUCGUGCUCGAGUACACCACUUCGGAGUCCGACGGGUGACAACAUGGACGGCGGCGCCGCUUCAAGGGCCAAUUUUUCGCGUGCUAGCAAUGCACGCUGCACUGAUGGCGAGGCGAAACAGGUGCCUGCAUCCCCAUCACAAGGGCCGCUUCUAUCCAGCGCUGCAGAAAGUGGAGCCUAUGCACAUGCGGUGCAGGAACAGCGCCGGCAGCAGGUGCCGUCCCCAAGCCCCUCGUCGCCCAUCUCGCCGCCAUCGCUGUUCUCCUCGUGGUCUCCGCUGGCGUCGGCAUCGGCUGUCACGCUGACACACAACGCCGUGAGCAACAUCGCCGACGUGUACGAGUGGGAGGUGCGCCGUGGCGAGGUGCUGAUCAUGGCCUCCGACGGCGUCUGGGACCGCAUGACGUCCGAGGACGUGCUCGCCUUCGUGUGCCAUGAGUUGGCAGCGGCACAGGAGCAGUCCAAGGGGGGUGCGACACGGAUGAUGCGCAGCGACGGUGCUGCAGUGAAAGCGUCCGAUGACGCGGGGAUGGGGGCGAGGGAGUCGCCAGGGGUCGGUGAGGCGGAUGCAGAGGCAUCCAACACAGCUGAGGUACCACUGCUGUUCCUCCGCGAGGCGCUCGAACGGACUCCGCUGCGGCAACCGUCACCGUUCGACGAGCAAGUGUGUGCGAGUGCUCGCUUCUCCCCCGCUGCCCCGCUCUGCACGCCAGGCGGCAACGGAGCUGCCGUGUCUGACCAACACGACGACGAAGCGGCGGAUUCGUUGUCGAGCACGACCGGCAGCGCGCCGUGCUUCUUCGCUGUGCAGGCGGCAGCGCGGCGGUUGACGGAGCACGUCGUGAACAACCUCUCUGGCAGCGACAACACCUCCGUCGUGGUGAUAACGUUUGACUGAGAAGCGGCGGGCGGGAACACCCAAGCGACGUGCGUGUGAUGUCGGCUUUGCGGUAGGCGGGUGGGCGGCGGGGGCGGUAGAUUGUGGUGGGCUGCGGUGGCCUCCAUGGAGCUGCACUCCGCCGGCCCCUCGUACCCGAGGCUACGCGGGCGGCGCGUACGAGGAUACUCUUCGUUUCUCCCCCUCCCCUCCCUCCCUUUCUGUUGAACGCACGCACGCACACACACACACACAAACACACACACACACGCACGCACGCACGCACGCACGCACGCACGCACGCGCACCCGUACAUGGAGAUGCUCAUGCCGCCCGCAAGCCUGCGCAGCGAAGGAUAACACAACACACACAAAGCCUAAGGGUGGUGAUGCAGGCGGCGCGUCAGGGCUGGGAGAGGAUCAGCUUCGUCUCCGUCGUCUCCCGCAGCGCGCAAUAUCCGAAGGCGGAUGGGAUGGACACGCGUGUGACCGUGCUGAAACGGAAGACGUCAGGGGGACAAGGACGCGCUGCACGCAAAGGAGGGGCGGGGCGAAGGGGGAGGUGUGUGUGCCUGCUGCAUGCCUUUUCCUAUGCGCACGGGCGCGUCUGAGCGCACGGUGCCGCCCACGGUUACGACUCGCAAGGAGGGUCUUGACAUGAGGGCUAUCACCGACCACGCCACGCACCGGUCUCACGGUUUGUCUUACACUCUCUCUCCCCCUCUCCCACUCCGCCUUCUCCUUCACGUCGAUACUCUGUGCAG